UCCCUCAUAGCUCAGUUGGUAAAGAAUCUGCCUGCAGUGCAGAAGACUCCUGGGUUCGAUUCCUGGGUUGGGAA
RNAcentral lists this transfer RNA (74 nucleotides) under Ovis aries (sheep). It matches the Rfam family "tRNA". Rfam says of the family: Transfer RNA (tRNA) molecules are approximately 80 nucleotides in length. Their secondary structure includes four short double-helical elements and three loops (D, anti-codon, and T loops). Lineage: Eukaryota; Metazoa; Chordata; Mammalia; Artiodactyla; Bovidae. The record is from Rfam by way of RNAcentral.